AUUGAACGCUGGCGGCAUGCCUUACACAUGCAAGUCGAACGGCAGCAUAGAGAGCUUGCUCUCUGAUGGCGAGUGGCGAACGGGUGAGUAAAGCAUCGGAACGUACCGUGUAGUGGGGGAUAACGUAGCGAAAGUUACGCUAAUACCGCAUACGUACUGAGGUAGAAAGCAGGGGAUCGUAAGACCUUGCGCUAUACGAGCGGCGGAUGUCAGAUUAGCUAGUUGGUAGGGUAAAGGCCUACCAAGGCGACGAUCUGUAGCGGGUCUGAGAGGAUGAUCCGCCACACUGGGACUGAGACACGGCCCAGACUCCUACGGGAGGCAGCAGUGGGGAAUUUUGGACAAUGGGGGCAACCCUGAUCCAGCCAUGCCGCGUGAGUGAAGAAGGCCUCCGGGUUGUAAAGCUCUUUCGGCCGGGAAGAAAUCGCACAGGCUAAUACCCUGUGUGGAUGACGGUACCGGCAUAAGAAGCACCGGCUAACUACGUGCCAGCAGCCGCCGUAA
This 504-nucleotide ribosomal RNA is filed under the name uncultured bacterium. Its description in RNAcentral is "partial 16S ribosomal RNA". It matches the Rfam family "Bacterial small subunit ribosomal RNA", at positions 30 to 523 of the family's 1533-position model. The record is from RNAcentral.